UACGGAGGGUGCAAGCGUUGUCCGGGUUUAUUGGGUUUAAAGGGUGCGUAGGCGGGUUAUUAAGUCAGUGGUGAAAGCACACAGCUCAACUGUGGAACUGCCAUUGAUACUGGUUACCUUGAGUAUAGAUGAGGCAGGCGGAAUUUACGAUGUAGCGGUGAAAUGCAUAGAUAUCGUAAAGAACACCUAUAGCGAAGGCAGCUUGCUAAACUAUAACUGACGCUGAGGAGCGAAAGCAUGGGUAGCGAACAGG
This 253-nucleotide unclassified non-coding RNA is filed under the name uncultured Cytophagales bacterium. Its description in RNAcentral is "contains 16S-23S intergenic spacer region". It matches the Rfam family "Bacterial small subunit ribosomal RNA", at positions 524 to 776 of the family's 1533-position model. Lineage: Bacteria; Pseudomonadati; Bacteroidota; Sphingobacteriia; Sphingobacteriales. The record is from RNAcentral.